AGUGGCAUACUAGCACAGCAUUAGAUUAUAGUUAGCAUUGAAGCUUUAGUAUCACAGAACAGCUCACUAGCAUAGCAUAAAAGAAUACAAAACAUACUCGAAAUCUUUAAUACUAGCACACUUAAAUACCUGCCCACUUGCUAAAUUACUAACUUUUAAUCUUCUUUGCUAGUACAGAUACAUGCUGGCAUACUAGCACAACAUUAGAUUCUUAUAGUUGGCAUUGAAGCUUUAGUAUCACAGAACAGCUCACUAGCAUAGCAUAAUAGAAUAUAAAACAUACUUGAAAUCUUUAAUACUAGCACACUUGAAUACCUUUCCACUUGCUAGCACAGUAGCAUUUUAUGAUGGUCUAAUACACAAGAACCGGUUUUGGAAAAAGCUGGACUCCGGGAUGUCAUAAGAACAGCAUUAAUACUAACGGUUACAUCAUGCUGCUCAGCCCUGAGGGAACAGGACAAAGGGAUUUAGCAGAGCAGCUAAAUCCCCACAGCACACUGGGAAAUUUCUUGGUGUUUUGAGAGCGACAGAGAGAGAGUGAUGAGAGUUGGAGUGGAGCAUGGAGCCUAUCCCAGGGAGCUCACCCUAGACGGGGGGCCAGCCCCAGCACAACUGUACACACACCAUGGACAAUUUGGACUGGGGGAGGAAACCAGAGCACCCAGAGGAAACCCAUGAAGCAUGGGGAGAACAUGCAAACAGAGGUGGGCUUAAAAAACCCCAACCCCAGGGGCGUGAGGCAAAUGUGCUAGCCACUAAGCCACUGCGCACCCCCCAGUAAGCUCAUGCUAGUGUCUAAGAGUAUGUGUUUGGUGUUUCACUGUGCUUUAUGCAUUUCAAAUUAGGUUAUAUCAGGUGAGUGGGUCGAUAAACAUGUAAACAAAAAUCAGUUAUUACAAAUGCCAAUUCCUCUGUUAAUAUUACUUAUGAUUUGUUUAUUUUUAUUAUUGUUAUUGAAGUUAAUGUUAGAAACUGCUGUAAACAAUGCUAAGUAAAAAAAAACCGGAAUGUAAAAUGGUACAAAUUAUUUUAUAAUAAUCAUAAUUUCAUAAUGAGAAAUAUUAGCUGCAUUCACCUCUAUUCAAAAUGAUUUUUGUUAGUGCAGUGUCGGCUCAGGUCAUGUCAGAAACGUGCACUAUGUGUAACUUUUGUGAAGACGUUUCUAAAUCAGUGGGCUGGAGCAGAUGUGUAUAUAUAGCAUGUGUGUGUGUGUGGGUGUGUGUGUGUGUGUGUGUGUGUGCCCUCUGUCAGAGAGCAUCACUUUUCUAGUCAGCACAAAACCACAGAAGCACACA
Molecule: long non-coding RNA, 1295 nt
Organism: Pangasianodon hypophthalmus (striped catfish)
Lineage: Eukaryota; Metazoa; Chordata; Actinopteri; Siluriformes; Pangasiidae
Exons: 3
Source: RefSeq, a predicted model, not a curated record